Paramisgurnus dabryanus is the source of this 1747-nucleotide non-coding RNA. NCBI's taxonomy places the organism in Eukaryota, Metazoa, Chordata, Actinopteri, Cypriniformes, Cobitidae. The record is from RefSeq and is a predicted model, not a curated record.
CCUCACAAUAAUUAAUCCCGGUCUUUUUUCAAUGCAUGCACUUUAUCUUUGUACAGCACGUCAUGAAUGUGUUAGCAUUUAGUGAAGCCCAUUAAUUAAUUCCUAUGUUUGAAUGAGAGGGGAGAGAGGACACAAUUAGAAGGGGUGCGCGGGGCAAAAACUAAUGCGGGGUUAGUUGUAACACGGACUGUUUACUUUGUUGCACAAGGUUGAGCGUUUUGUUUUUCCUGUAUUUUUUCACGCUGUCAAAAAGACGAUCUCCCGCAAAUUAUUGGAAAUGUACACUGUUAGAUGUCGCUGUAGAUUUAGCAGCACUGUACUGUAAAAAUCCACAGUACUAUACUGUAUGUGUACAUUACAGUAAAGUACUGCAGUUCAUAGUGCAUUCUGGGUAAAUUUGUUUGAGCGGGAAAAUUUUACAGUAUAUUUUGGUCUUGAUGUAACCUUGCUGUAGCCAUUGCUGUAAUGUGCCAGGUGUACUUGCAAUAAUCAGAGAAAGUGCGCACGAGUCAAAUCACACAGAGGGAGAGAGAGCACAACUCCUGGCUGCAGCUGAAGAAGGAGGACGAUUGAUUUCUGUCAGUUCGCUCUAACGUUACAGUUUGCUCCACUUUGCUCUGUGGUUUAUAUGUUUUCUUCUUACCAUUGCUUGUAAGCUGGAUUGAGUAAGAUGGAUCAUCUUUAAAGGAACCAGGAGUUAAGGCAGAUGUGGAGGCACACGGGUGACACCAGACACACACCAAGCACAUUGUUCGGACAUUCAAUCAUGACAUGAUCCAUGUGGAUGCUGUCCAUUGAGGAAAGAGUUUGUUCAGAGGUUUCUGGACAGAAUUAAUCCCAAAGAUGGGAAAAAGUGCACAUCCACACAAGGAGCAAGCAAAAAGACAAGGAACUUGGUGCAGAGAAAAGCUGUGGCCAUUAACCCCCAUGUGAACAGCUUCAUGCAGUCCCUGAUAGAGUUUGAAUGGGCGACUUCAAACUAAAGGCCAGUGUCAGUCUGCCACAGUUUAAUGCAUUUAUUUUUAGUGUUCAAUAAAAUUCAAAUAGAAUAUUUAAAACUAUGGGCCAGUGUUCUUUUUACCACAGUUAAAUGUUACCUUUUAGUUGAUGAUGGACUUAAAACUUCAAACUAUGGAACAGUGUUCUUUUUACCACAGUCAAAUGUUACCUUUUAGUCGAUGAUGGACUUUAAACUGAAAACUUCAAACUAUGGACCAGUGUUCUAUUUGCCAGAGUUAAAUAUAUUACAGCAGGGGCCUCCAAACUUGUUUAUACUUUAUAAUAUUUUAUUUUAUUUUACUUGUUUAUUAUUGUUUAUCUUGUUUUAAAUGAUUGUUUCAACUACAUGUUUUUUUAAUAAAAUUUUUGAUAUAAACAUUGCUUGGAUUGCCUUUUAAUUCAUAAUGUCAUGUCAAGGAUAGCAUUUUUUUACUAUAUUAAUAACUAUAGAUUUAAACCUAAAUAUCUAGCUAUAAUACAUUAUUGUAUUAACUGUAAUAAGUAAUAAAUAGUAUUUAUGGGUCAAUAUAGACAUUACAGUAAAUUACUGUAAAAAUAGGCUAUUAUUGUAAAAUUACAGUACAGUACUGCUUUGUAACUAUACGGUACUAGUUUGUGUACUGUAAAACUGGAUUACAGUACAGUACUGUAGAACCAAAAUACAGUAACUUACUGGCAACCGUGCUGCCAGUACCGUACUGUAAAAAUACAGGGAAAUCGUUAACAGUGUAUGUUUUUCCAGAGAGUU